Molecule: long non-coding RNA, 222 nt
Organism: Acanthochromis polyacanthus (spiny chromis)
Lineage: Eukaryota; Metazoa; Chordata; Actinopteri; Pomacentridae
Exons: 4
Source: RefSeq, a predicted model, not a curated record
UAGGUCUGUUCUAGAACUUUCUCCAGCUGUCGGUAGGUCUGCUCUAGAACUUUCUCCAGCUGUCGGUAGGUCUGCUCUAGAACUUUCUCCAGCUGUCGGUAGGUCUGCUCUAGAACUUUCUCCAGCUGUCGGUAGGUCUGCUCUAGAACUUUCUCCAGUUGUCGGUAGAUCUACUCUAGAACUUUCUCCAGCUGUCGGUAGGUCUGCUCUAGAACUUUCUCC